Molecule: small nucleolar RNA, 125 nt
Filed under: Gossypium raimondii (Peruvian cotton)
Lineage: Eukaryota; Viridiplantae; Streptophyta; Magnoliopsida; Malvales; Malvaceae
Description: snoRNA LOC128040885
Rfam family: Small nucleolar RNA SNORD14
About the family: U14 small nucleolar RNA (U14 snoRNA) is required for early cleavages of eukaryotic precursor rRNAs. In yeasts, this molecule possess a stem-loop region (known as the Y-domain) which is essential for function.
Source: Rfam by way of RNAcentral
GGUUUAUGAUGAUAAGUUGUAGGGCUUGUUUCUCAAAACAUUCGCAGUGGCCACCUGAGAGCUUUCGCUUUUCUCCGGGCUUGAGAGUAUGUGCUGCUUUUAUCCUUCCUUGGAUGUCUGAGACC